This 299-nucleotide ribosomal RNA is filed under the name uncultured bacterium. RNAcentral describes it as "partial 16S ribosomal RNA". It matches the Rfam family "Bacterial small subunit ribosomal RNA", at positions 166 to 460 of the family's 1533-position model. The record is from RNAcentral.
AUACCGCAUAACAAUGGAUGACACAUGUCAUUUAUUUGAAAGGGGCAAUUGCUCCACUACAAGAUGGACCUGCGUUGUAUUAGCUAGUAGGUGAGGUAACGGCUCACCUAGGCGACGAUACAUAGCCGACCUGAGAGGGUGAUCGGCCACACUGGGACUGAGACACGGCCCAGACUCCUACGGGAGGCAGCAGUAGGGAAUCUUCGGCAAUGGGGGCAACCCUGACCGAGCAACGCCGCGUGAGUGAAGAAGGUUUUCGGAUCGUAAAGCUCUGUUGUAAGAGAAGAACGAGUGUGAGA